This 254-nucleotide ribosomal RNA is filed under the name uncultured bacterium. RNAcentral's name for it is "partial 16S ribosomal RNA". It matches the Rfam family "Bacterial small subunit ribosomal RNA", at positions 524 to 776 of the family's 1533-position model. The record is from RNAcentral.
GACGAACCGUGCGAACGUUAUUCGGAAUCACUGGGCUUAAAGCGCGUGUAGGCGGGACGGCACGUCGGUCGCUGAAAUCCCCCGGCUUAACCGGGGAACGGGCGUCGAUACGACCGUCCUGGAGGGGCGGAGGGGGACCUGGAACUUCCGGUGGAGCGGUGAAAUGCGUUGAGAUCGGAAGGAACGCCCGUGGCGAAAGCGAGGUCCUGGACGCCUACUGACGCUGAGACGCGAAAGCCAGGGGAGCGAACGGG